CCUACGGGUGGCAGCAGUGAGGAAUAUUGGUCAAUGGUCGUAAGACUGAACCAGCCAAGUAGCGUGAAGGAUGACGGCCCUACGGGUUGUAAACUUCUUUUAUACAGGAAUAAAGUGAGUCACGUGUGCCUUUUUGUAGGUACCUCAUGAAUAAGGAUCGGCUAAUUCCGUGCCAGCAGCCGCGGUAAUACGGAGGGUCCGAGCGUUAUCCGGAUUUAUUGGGUUUAAAGGGAGCGUAGGUGGGAUGUUAAGCGAGUUGUGAAAGGUUGCGGCUCAACCGUAGAAUUGCGAUGGAUACUGGCAGUCUUGAGUGCAGUGGAGGUAGGCGGAAUUCGUGGUGUAGCGGUGAAAUGCUUAGAUAUCACGAAGAACUCCGAUUGCGAAGGCAGCUUACUAAAGUGCCACUGACAUUGAUGCUCGAAGGUGCGGGUAUCGAACAGGAUUAGAUACCCCUGUAGUC
This 460-nucleotide ribosomal RNA is filed under the name uncultured bacterium. Its description in RNAcentral is "partial 16S ribosomal RNA". It matches the Rfam family "Bacterial small subunit ribosomal RNA", at positions 338 to 795 of the family's 1533-position model. The record is from RNAcentral.